RNAcentral lists this long non-coding RNA (307 nucleotides) under Mytilus galloprovincialis (Mediterranean mussel). Lineage: Eukaryota; Metazoa; Mollusca; Bivalvia; Mytilida; Mytilidae. The record is from RNAcentral.
AAGGAAAUAAAAUACCGAAUAGAAUAUUUUGACAUAUAAGAAUAGCUUCAGGAAAAACUAUUUCAAUUAAAUGUAAGCAAACAUACACAUUUUUUCAUUUUGAAAAAGGGGGGUUGAAACUCUCCAAUAUACUACCAGUCAUAAAAACGACUUUUUAGAAAAAUGUGACCGUACAAAAUUCUGACGACAGGGCAAAAACUAAAGAAGACAUAUUUGUCUUUAAGUUAAGACCAUUUUUAGCCGUGUGUUAUUUGGGGAGAUUAAACUCGCGAUCUAGACGACUUUUUACACUUCUGUCACCGCACUA